GAACGAACCAAUCAAGAUGACCCACUGAUUGGGCCACGCAAUGUUUGCUACCACCAAUUUCCCUCCAAUCGACUGACCAAACCUGUGAGGCCACAAAGGAAUUAAAGUAAGAACAACAAAUAUGGUAUGGCAAACUCACUUGUCGCGCAGCAGUAAAUUAUCCACAGUUCCGGCAAAGAAGAGUACACUCGAUAGAUAGACAGUACUUGUGGUGAGAAUGGCGCAAAUUGUGCCAAUUGGAAUACUCUUCUGUGCAUCAGCCAGAUCUCCCGAACGGUUCGAUCCAGCCAUAAUGCCUAAGCAGAGUUUAAUGAUUUAGGCUAAGUGAAGUGUUUGAUUUGAGAAUCGUUUACCUGUCACUGAGGGAAAGAAAAUGCCAAUGAGCAGCGUGAACGAGGUCGUAAUGUCGGCCAUAAUUUGAUUGUACGAUUGGCCACUACCGUUGUCAAUAUCCUCUGAUUUUUGACCAUACGCAAUGAAUUG
Long non-coding RNA from Drosophila sulfurigaster albostrigata, 483 nucleotides. RefSeq lists it as uncharacterized. The transcript is spliced from 2 exons. NCBI's taxonomy places the organism in Eukaryota, Metazoa, Arthropoda, Insecta, Diptera, Drosophilidae. The record is from RefSeq and is a predicted model, not a curated record.